AUCGCUCACGGAGAUGGCAUGCCUCCCGCAGAUCAUCGCAAACCGCUGGAUUGAUUACGUAGCUGACUUACCCGAUUGAGUCGCCUAAUUAAGCCAGCUAAUGAUGCCUACGCGUUC
Molecule: non-coding RNA, 117 nt
Filed under: Burkholderia sp.
Lineage: Bacteria; Pseudomonadati; Pseudomonadota; Betaproteobacteria; Burkholderiales; Burkholderiaceae
Description: Fluoride sequence
Rfam family: Fluoride riboswitch aptamer (crcB RNA motif)
Source: RNAcentral